RNAcentral lists this ribosomal RNA (492 nucleotides) under uncultured bacterium. RNAcentral's name for it is "partial 16S ribosomal RNA". It matches the Rfam family "Bacterial small subunit ribosomal RNA", at positions 29 to 507 of the family's 1533-position model. The record is from RNAcentral.
AGUGAACGCUGGCGGUAGGCCUAACACAUGCAAGUCGAACGGCAGCACAGUAAGAGCUUGCUCUUACGGGUGGCGAGUGGCGGACGGGUGAGGAAUACAUCGGAAUCUACUUUUUCGUGGGGGAUAACGUAGGGAAACUUACGCUAAUACCGCAUACGACCUACGGGUGAAAGCAGGGGAUCUUCGGACCUUGCGCGAUUGAAUGAGCCGAUGUCGGAUUAGCUAGUUGGCGGGGUAAAGGCCCACCAAGGCGACGAUCCGUAGCUGGUCUGAGAGGAUGACCAGCCACACUGGAACUGAGACACGGUCCGGACUCCUACGGGAGGCAGCAGUGGGGAAUAUUGGACAAUGGGCGCAAGCCUGAUCCAGCCAUACCGCGUGGGUGAAGAAGGCCUUCGGGUUGUAAAGCCCUUUUGUUGGGAAAGAAAAGCAGCAGGUUAAUACCCCGCUGUUCUGACGGUACCCAAAGAAUAAGCACCGGCUAACUUCGUG